RNAcentral lists this transfer RNA (57 nucleotides) under Osmylus zheanus. RNAcentral's name for it is "tRNA-Trp". Lineage: Eukaryota; Metazoa; Arthropoda; Insecta; Neuroptera; Osmylidae. The record is from RNAcentral.
AGUUAAUUAAACUAAAAGCCUUCAAAGCUUUAAAUAAAGUUAGUACUUUAAGCCUUA